AUGAUGGAUUUUGAUGUUAUAAUAUUAUUAGUUUACUGCAGUCUCGGCAAAUUGAUUUUUGUUGAUAGAUAUGGUGGAACAGGAAAGAUGUUUCUGUGGAAAGCAUUUACGACAAAACUAAGGUCCGAAGGAAAGAUACUUCUAGCAGUAGCUUCAAGUGGUAUAGCAGCACCUCUUUUACAGGGUGGAAGCACAGCUCAUUCAAGAUUCCACAUUCCACUCAAGAUCACUAACGAGUACACAUGCGACAUCAAGCUAGGAACAUUUCUUGCGGAACUAAUAACGAGAACUUCGUUGAUAAUAUGGGAUGAAGCACCUAUGACACACAAGCACUGA
This 336-nucleotide ribosomal RNA is filed under the name Triticum aestivum (bread wheat). RNAcentral's name for it is "partial small subunit ribosomal RNA". Lineage: Eukaryota; Viridiplantae; Streptophyta; Magnoliopsida; Poales; Poaceae. The record is from RNAcentral.